This is a long non-coding RNA of Trichomycterus rosablanca, 1660 nucleotides long. RefSeq lists it as uncharacterized. Lineage: Eukaryota; Metazoa; Chordata; Actinopteri; Siluriformes; Trichomycteridae. The record is from RefSeq and is a predicted model, not a curated record. The transcript has 2 exons.
CUAACUUUGCUCUCUCUUUUGGAGGGGCGUGUUACGUGCAAGUGCUGCACGUAUGUUUUUCUUUCCUUUUCUUUUUGCCUCUACCUAACUUCACAAUAGGUGCAGAAUGGAGCCUAUGAAAGAAAUGCUAUGAUUACUUCGCCACCAAUCCGCAUCUGCCGUUGUGUCUUUGGAGGCGGGUCUAGAGACAUAAAGGCACCAAUGGAGACGGAGCUGGAGGAGGAGCACUGCAGUUAGGCUGAGACUGUGUUGGUGAACUGCUGAAUUGUUUGGACCGCAAACCGCGUGUAGUAUUAUAGAUAAGUUAUAUUCUCAGCGUGCUCCUGCCGAUUGUUAUUUAUUCAAACCGCUUGUAGUAAUAUAGAUAAGUUAUAUUCUCAGCGUGCUCCUGCCGAUGGCUAUUUGUAUAUUUUGGCUCAUUUUGAAAACGUGAAGCGUGGACAGGCAAGAUAAAUUGAAGAGGAGAUUAACUCUUGACUUCCCCCAGCUGGUGUUUCAUUCCCCCAUCAAGCGCAACAUGUGUCAGAUGGUUUUUGUCGAGACAAUAACUGCAGAUAUGUUGAUAGACAGGCUACCUCAUUCAUUAGGUACAGGGACAAUAACUGAGUCAACGGAGAUAAGCCAGAACAGAAAGUGACUGUGAAAAGACUCCAAGAACAACAGAUGUUCAGGAAAAAUCUACUUCAGGGCUCUCAAUCAAUACAUCAGAGGACACAAGGACACUUUAUAGUGCAGCAUUGAUAUUAAAAAAAGCUUUUGCGUGACUCUCCUGGUAAGAAAUGCCCAUGGCCGCCCACGUCAGAUGAUUUGAAUGUAACUGAUGCAAAAUCUGUUGUGCCAGUUGAAUUGUACAAUCUGAUUUCAUGAAUUAUAAUAAUUCAAAUAAUUGAUUAAUUGAUUACUUUAUUGAUCCCCGAAGGGAAAUUGUGGUGUCACAGCAGCAAUUCCAAUUAUUACAAGCAUUGUAAUGUCGUUGUGUGAUUCCCUUCAGGGAUCAAUAAAGUAAUCAAUCAAUCAAUUAUUGGUGCAACCGAGGAACCAAUGCUGGCUGACUGUUGAUUUCCCAGAAGAUUUGAACCUAAAAGUGACCCAGGAAAUGGAUUGCAUCUAUGUGGUCAGGCACAGCGUGGCUAAGAGGGUGACUUACAAGGAGACAGGAUUGGAGAGUUAGAACACCUGGUUGUUCCCAAUACAUUGUACUAAAUGCUAGAAUGAGUCAUGGUGUGACAUUACCACAUGUUUGAAUGUUAUGUAUGGACUGAUUUUAAGUUGUAUUGCAUAUAUUGCAGAAUUCUAAAUUUUUGCCAUUAUUCAAAACUAAAGGGGUUGGGUAACGAAUUCGACUAAUUUCAACCAUCUUGAACAAAAGUGUAUUUUUAGUUUUUCCUUCCUCUGAAUACCCAGUCAUUACUGACAAUUUUGAUGUGUAAAACAUCAGUGUUUUGCAAAAUUUGGCAUGUGUAUGUAUGCUUUUAUUUAGUGCCAGCUUCUGAAGAUCAACCAUAUUUUGUUCAAAUUUGCCAUAUUGUAUGGUCUGAUUCCACACGAGCAUACUAAUGCAUGAAUACUUGUCUUUGAUGUUUAGGUACAUAUAUGAAUGUCAAUUUGGGAGAUAUUUGUGUUAUUAAACUGAAUAUAAAUAAACUUAGAAGCAAAACCA